GUGAGGAAUAUUGGGCAAUGGGGGGAACCCUGACCCAGCCAUGCCGCGUGAGGGAAGUAGGCCCUACGGGUCGUGAACCUCUUUUGUCCAGGGACAAGGACGGCGUCGGGAACGCCGUUUGAGGGUACUGGAAGAAUAAGCAUCGGCUAACUCCGUGCCAGCAGCCGCGGUAAUACGGAGGAUGCGAGCGUUAUCCGGAUUCAUUGGGUUUAAAGGGUGCGCAGGCGGCCGGGCAAGUCAGCGGUGAAAGUCAGGGGCCCAACCCCGGAAGUGCCGUUGAUACUGUUCGGCUGGAAUGCGGUCGAGGCGGGCGGAAUGUGGCGUGUAGCGGUGAAAUGCGUAGAUAUGCCACAGAACGCCGAUAGCGAAGGCAGCUCGCCAGGCCUGCAUUGACGCUCGGGCACGAAAGCGUGGGGAUCGAACAGG
Molecule: ribosomal RNA, 426 nt
Filed under: uncultured rumen bacterium
Lineage: Bacteria
Description: bacterial SSU rRNA
Rfam family: Bacterial small subunit ribosomal RNA
Source: RNAcentral